CAUCUUUGAGGCCAUGAAGUUGCUGGAUGGUUGCUCAUUGCUUGUGCUGCUUCAAUGCCAGGUCGCACUCAGCAAAGCCCAGGGACAAGAGAAGAGGAAGGACUCAAAGGAGCCAAGGCAGACAGUGAAAAAUCAGCAAGGGUAUUUCCAUGAGGCACACAGGGGACCUCAGCAUUUCACAGUGACAACAGGACUGAGGUGUGGACCUGCCUGUGCAAAUCUCCCCAGCCAGCAGCAGGUAAAUGUUCAGGGGCUGGAGCAGUCCCAGACCCAGCUAGAAGAAGGAAAU
This 289-nucleotide long non-coding RNA is filed under the name Zonotrichia albicollis (white-throated sparrow). RNAcentral's name for it is "lncRNA (ENSZALG00000001653.1)". The record is from RNAcentral. Lineage: Eukaryota; Metazoa; Chordata; Aves; Passeriformes; Passerellidae.